GUGACGCAGUGUUGUCGUCUCGUAGGCUUGAAAGAUUGGAUACAAUCAGUGAUGCACAUUUACCAGACAGAGGAUGUGCAGCGUUUACUGUUGAUUUCUCUCUUUUCCUCCCUAUCACCUCAGUUUAGUUCCAGGAUCCACACUCCUCCACCAUAGUCAGGAGAUUCAGGGAAAGUUGGCAGGGUUCAGCUUUCAAGUUGACCCUUGAUGAACCAUGGUCAAUCCUGUUAAGAGGCGUGAAAGCCAAUCCCAGCCAAUGAGACUGGGGAGAAAUCACUGAAGAACUUGUGGAAAACAGACCCUCUGGAUAAAAGACACGUGUGGGGAAAAAGGGGCUUUUUAAUGUUAUUCUGGAUGUUUCCCAAAAGUACUGCUGCUGCCUUGCCUCCCUGACAGACACUGGCCUUAGGAUGACAUGCGGCAGGAAGGAAGGACGGAUCUGGGGUUUUUCAAGACUCACUGAGAUGCACAAGGAACCAACCCUCAAGUAGCCAACUCGUUCCUGUUUGCAUGUGUCGACUGAAAAGAAUCAAAAUAAACAAAAUAUAACUAUUUCUAAGAGGUUACAACUUGCAGGCAGGAAGCAGGCCUCUACCUGAGGCCAUAAAGCAUACUUUGAAGGAGAAAAGGUAGGUAUUUAUGCUAGGUGGAGAGGUAGGAUAUACGUAUUCUGUAGCAUACAGGAGAAGCCUAUGAAAAUUCAUGGAGGAAACUCGUUAGAGACACGCACUGGGCUUACAUAUGAAGAAUAUCCAAAAGCGGAUGACCUGUGUUCACUCUGGGGUGAAGAUUUAACAUUUAAAUGUAUUAUAAUUAGGCUGUAAAUGCAAAAAGGUGAAACAUAGGGCACAAGUUCACGAUCUGUGCAAUCUCCAGAGACCAGUCUGAUCUAGCCUGCAGCUGGCAGUCAUCUGUCAAGAAGGGGCUCUUUGUAGCCCAGAGUAGCUGUCAGGUUGGAACCAUAAAACCAAAAGGAGGGCAUCGGCGGUUAGGUGAAGAAAAGAAGUCUUUUGGCCUUUUUUCCUCUUCAAGUCAGCUUUUGAUAAGAUCUAGUAAUAAUAAGGGGAUGGGUGUGGCUGCAGGUGGGACAUGUCGGUUCUCUGUCCUGUCACAGCUAAGAACUAAGAACUUUAGAGUCUUUCAGCCAUAGAGGGUCCUGUCAUCCAUUGAAGGGAUCAGUCCAUUGGGAUUUUGCCAGUUUUAGCAUUGAUGCUGUGUCCUGGGAAACCCCUGAAUACUUAUCAUAGCAGAAGUUCAGCCACUGUAGCCCUACCUCAGGACCGCUUUUAUGGGAAAGAAUAAUUCCUUUAACUGCUUGAGCCAUUUGAGUUGUGGCUGCUUUUGGUACUUGUAAUAAAUUGAAAGCAUCUUGAAUGUUCUGGGACAGUAAAAGAAUGUGCCUUUGUUUCUGACAGCAAUUAUAAAAUCAAUUAUAUGUUUAUAUUCUAAAAAAUGUUUUGAGUAAUGCUGACAUCAUUGGAAAAGUGCAUCACUUAGAAAAUGUAUCUGUGUGUCAAUUUUGUUUGUUCAAAAUCAGUUUCAUUAAUUUGUGGGAAGAUACACCUUGUACAUUUUACCUAAUUAAAAAAAAUAUUGCCAGUUGAG
RNAcentral lists this long non-coding RNA (1605 nucleotides) under Homo sapiens (human). Its description in RNAcentral is "non-protein coding lnc-SCP2D1-1:2". Lineage: Eukaryota; Metazoa; Chordata; Mammalia; Primates; Hominidae. The record is from RNAcentral.